This 588-nucleotide ribosomal RNA is filed under the name uncultured bacterium. RNAcentral's name for it is "bacterial SSU rRNA". It matches the Rfam family "Bacterial small subunit ribosomal RNA", at positions 250 to 855 of the family's 1533-position model. The record is from RNAcentral.
UGGUGGGGUAACGGCCUACCAAGGCGACGAUCAGUAGCCGACCUGAGAGGGUGAUCGGCCACAUUGGAACUGAGACACGGUCCAAACUCCUACGGGAGGCAGCAGUGGGGAAUAUUGCACAAUGGGGGGAACCCUGAUGCAGCAACGCCGCGUGAAGGAAGAAGUAUUUCGGUAUGUAAACUUCUAUCGACAGGGAAGAAAGAAAUGACGGUACCUGAAUAAGAAGCACCGGCUAAAUACGUGCCAGCAGCCGCGGUAAUACGUAUGGUGCAAGCGUUAUCCGGAUUUACUGGGUGUAAAGGGUGAGUAGGCGGUUAUGCAAGUCAUAUGUGAAAUUCUGGGGCUCAACCCCAGCGCUGCAUAAGAAACUGUGUAACUAGAGUACAGGAGAGGUAAGCGGAAUUCCUAGUGUAGCGGUGAAAUGCGUAGAUAUUAGGAAGAACACCGGUGGCGAAGGCGGCUUACUGGACUGAAACUGACGCUGAGUCACGAAAGCGUGGGGAGCGAACAGGAUUAGAUACCCUGGUAGUCCACGCCGUAAACGAUGAGUGCUAGGUGUUGGGAAGAGAUUCUCGGUGCCGCAGCAAA